Molecule: unclassified non-coding RNA, 343 nt
Filed under: soil metagenome
Description: partial contains 5.8S ribosomal RNA, internal transcribed spacer 2, and large subunit ribosomal RNA
Rfam family: 5.8S ribosomal RNA (bases 1-120)
Source: RNAcentral
GAUGAAGAACGCAGCGAAAUGCGAUAAGUAAUGUGAAUUGCUGAAUUCAGUGAAUCAUCGAAUCUUUGAACGCACAUUGCGCCCGCUAGUAUUCUGGCGGGCAUGCCUGUCCGAGCGUCAUUUCAACCCUCAAGCCCCCGGGCUUGGUGUUGGGGAUCGGCGAGCCUCCGCGCCCGCCGUCCCCUAAAUCUAGUGGCGGUCUCGCUGUAGCUUCCUCUGCGUAGUAGCACACCUCGCACUGGGAAACAGCGCGGCCACGCCGUUAAACCCCCAACUUCUGAACGUUUGACCUCGGAUCAGGUAGGAAUACCCGCUGAACUUAAGCAUAUCAAUAAGCGGAGGA